This 178-nucleotide unclassified non-coding RNA is filed under the name rhizosphere metagenome. RNAcentral describes it as "partial ribosomal RNA internal transcribed spacer region". The record is from RNAcentral.
GAAUAUAAAUCGUACUGUUCACGCAGUAUGUGGGGUGGUGACUUCGGUCCCGCUCAUUCAUAUCCAUAACACCUGUGCACUGUUGGAUGCUUGCAUCCACUUUUAUACUAAACAUUAUUGUAACAAAUGUAGUCUUAUUAUAACUGAUAAAACUUUUAACAACGGAUCUCUUGGCUCU